Molecule: long non-coding RNA, 2848 nt
Filed under: Sus scrofa (pig)
Lineage: Eukaryota; Metazoa; Chordata; Mammalia; Artiodactyla; Suidae
Description: lncRNA (ENSSSCG00050027000.1)
Source: RNAcentral
UUUUUUUUUUUUUUUAAUUUUGGAAUUCCCCAUCAUGGCUCAGCAGUAACAAACCCAACUAGUAUUCAUGAGAACACAGGUUCGAUCCCUGGCCCCGCUCAGUGGGUUAAGGAUCCGGGAUUGCCAUGCGCUGCUGUGUAGGUUACAGACAACACUUGGAUCCUGCGUCGCUGUGGCUGUGGUGUAGGCCUACAGCUCCAGUGCCGUCCCUAGCCUGGGAAGUUCCAUACACCUUGGGUGUGGCCCUAAAAGAGACAAAAAUAGAUAAAUAAAUAAAUGUAAAAAAUUUUUGUUCGAGUAUUGCUGGUUUACGAUGAUGUGGUGUCAUUUUCUGCUGUACAACAAAGUGACCCAGUCACACACACAUGCAUAUAUAUAUAAACAUAUUCCCUUUCUUACAAAUAUUAUUUUUCAGGGUGACAGCAUCACCCACUUCAGCAUUCACUUUAAAGACAUGAUGUGAGAAUCAAGGUGAGGAAAAGCACCUACCCCGGGGCCUGGAAUGGAGUUCUCCCUCCAGGAACCUCAAAUCCCUUCCCUUUGCUCUCUCUGACAGAGGAAGGGGCCACUCCAGGAGGCGCUCCCCCCGGCCCCCCCGGCAAGCCUGGUGGACUCAUCUGACAUUGACCCUGAGAACCCCUCACCACCUCUGGAAUUUAGCAGGAGUGUUUGAGCGUUGGGAGGAAAGCAUGAGCCUUUCUAGGCAGCCACCUUAUUAAGUGGCAACAAUUGCUCACACAUCUCCCGAAUGGUUCUCAGAAACCACCCUCUGGUACCUGGGUGGCAUCAGUGUCUGUUCGGGGGCCUGUGCAGACCCCACCUCCCUCUCUAGCUACGUGCCCAGGGGGAGUGAACAUGGACUGCAGAGCAGGGAUGAAGACUGGGAAUCCAGUUCUGCCACUUAAUCCACUUUGCAAUCUUUUUUUGUCUUUUAAGGGCCACACCCGUGGCAUAUGCAAGUUCCCAGGCUAGGGGUCGAAUCGGAGCUAUAGCUGCUGGCCUACACCACAGAUGCAGCAACGUGAGAUCUGAGCUGCAUCUGUGGCCUCCACCACAGCUCAUGGCAACGCUGGAUCCUUAACCCACUGAUCGAGGUCAAGGAUCAAACCUGCGUCCUCAUGGAUAUUGGUCAGGUUCAUUAACCACUAAGCCGUGAUGGGAACUCCCCUGCUUUGUAAUCUGAAGGUCCUUAACCUCUCUGUACCUCGUUCUACUUAUCUAUAAACUGGAAAUAAUAAUGGUACCUAACCUCAGAGAAGGUUUUGAAGAGUCAGCAAAGAAUAUAUAUAUAGUCCUAUGGAAACUGAUAAAUAGCAAGGCCUGAAUAAAUAUUUACAAAGUGAAUUACAUUAUUUUUGAAUUGGCCCUAACACCCUAAAAAUGGAUUGAUGACUGUUGACAGUUUUACAUAACAAAUUCAAAAGUGCAUGAUUCCAUUGACCUUUUAAACCACUCCAAAAAUAAAUAGAGAUGAUUUUCCGAAGUCUGAAAACCCCAAAACAAUACAAGAAAAAUAAUUGCUUAUUAUCAAAAAAUUUUGAUGAUGUAACAUUAAAAUUUUAUUUUAGCGUCAGAUUACAAAUAAAAUCAAUUUAGGUAAAUAAUAGGUCUGGGGAAAUAUGUACAAUACAGAAAACAGAAGGCUGGAGUCCCCAUCGAGACUCAGUGGAAAUGAACCUGACUGAUAUCCACAAGGAUGUGGGUUUGAUCCCUGGCCUCCCUCAUGGGUUAAGGAUCUGGCAUUGCCAUGAGCUGUGGCAUAGGUCGCAGACGUGGCUCAGAUCCUGUGUUGCUGUGGCUGUGGCCUAGGCUGGCAGCUGCAGCUCCAAUUCGACCCCUAGACUGGGAAUUUCCAUAUGCCACAAUGUGGCCCUAAAAAGCAAAAAAAAAAAGAAAGAAAGAAAAGAAAAUAGAAAGUUAAUAUUUAUAAUAUGCCGAUGAAUUGUUAAAAAUAGAAGGAAUUAUUUUGAAAUUUAAAUUGGGAUAAGCACAUGAAUAAGCAAAUCGCAGAACAAGUCAAUAAACAUAUGAAAAGAUGUUCAAACUCCAGGCUAUAUAAAUUGAAAUAACAAGCGGCUGUUAUUUUUCAGCCAUCAGACUGAUGAUAUAUUUUAAGUGAAGUAACAUCUACUGCCAGGAGGACAUAAGAAAAUGGGUUCCCUUCUUCAAAGCUAGAAAGUAGGAAUUAUUUCAACCUUUUUGUUUUGUUUUGUUUUUGGGGUUUUUUUUUUGUUUUGUCUUUUGUCUUUUUAGAGCCACACCUGCGGCAUAUGGAGGUUCCCAGGCCAGGGGUCUAAUCAGAGUUGUAGCUGCCAGCCUAUGCCAGAGUCACAGAAACACCAGAUCCGAGCCACGUCUGCGACCUACACCACACCUCAUGGCAACGCUGGAUCCUUAACCCACUGAGCAAGGCCAGGGAUUGAACCCGCCACCUCAUGAUUCCUAGUCGGAUUCAUUUCUGUAUUUCAGGCUUUUUGGAGUGCAUUCCAGAAACAGUUGUUAUAAUGUAAAAAUACAUAUAUUCUUUGACCUGGCCCUCUCUCUCCACGAAAUAUAUCUUAAAAAAUAAAAACUCCAGUACCUAAAAACAUACACUUGUGCUUGUGGCACAAUGGUUCACUAUGACUGGACACUAGAUCCCCAUCAAAUUAUCAAUCAAUGAAUACAUCCAUCUUCUGCAUCCAUUAAAAAGACUGGAUUAGAGCCAUGCCAAAGUUAGAGGGAUUUCUUCAAGAUACGGAAGAGUAAGAAAAACAAAAAGCAGGAAAAUAUGUAUAAAAAUAAUCCUGUUUUUGGUAAAAUUAACACUCCAAAUUCACGAAGCUGCGUAAAUAUUUGUGUUUAUGAA